GACGAACGCUGGCGGCGUGCUUAACCCAUGCAAGUCGAGCGGUAAGGCCCUUUCGGAGGUACACGAGCGGCGAACGGGUGAGUAACACGUGGGUGACCUGCCCUCAGCUCUGGGAUAAGCCUGGGAAACUGGGUCUAAUACCGGAUAUGACUCCAUGACGCAUGUUGUGGGGUGGAAAGCCUUGUGCGGCUGAGGAUGGGCCCGCGGCCUAUCAGCUUGUUGGUGGGGUGAGGCCUACCAAGGCGACGACGGGUAGCCGGCCUGAGAGGGCGACCGGCCACACUGGGACUGAGACACGGCCCAGACUCCUACGGGAGGCAGCAGUGGGGAAUCUUGCGCAAUGGGCGAAAGCCUGACGCAGCGACGCCGCGUGAGGGAUGACGGCCU
RNAcentral lists this ribosomal RNA (387 nucleotides) under uncultured bacterium. RNAcentral describes it as "bacterial SSU rRNA". It matches the Rfam family "Bacterial small subunit ribosomal RNA", at positions 28 to 417 of the family's 1533-position model. The record is from RNAcentral.